Phalacrocorax carbo (great cormorant) is the source of this 3501-nucleotide non-coding RNA. Lineage: Eukaryota; Metazoa; Chordata; Aves; Suliformes; Phalacrocoracidae. The record is from RefSeq and is a predicted model, not a curated record.
GAUUCCAUCACCGCCUGCACACAACUAUAGCAUCAACUACAGGCACUGCAAUAUACUGAAAAGUCAAAGAUGUCAAGAGAGUAAAUUAAGGAAUGCAUUAUAGCUGUUAAAGCAAUCUUAAGGGAAAUCUGAGGCUUCCACUGCAGCACCGUGCUUAGUGUUCUGGUAUACAACUACAAGCUUUUGCAAGAAAGAGGAGAGAACACAGCCGUUGCUUCUUUACUGCUUGCUGCUACGGCUGCAGUUGCUGACUUCCUACAAAACUCUGUUUCUCGCAAAUGAUGGUUGCGUAUGUAAAUACAGGACCUGCAGUAAUCAACUUCAGAACUACAGUUCAAUAAAAUCACUUACGAACAGCCCCAUUACAAGUGAUGCCGCCUGAUGUGCAAUUGACCCCGUGGUCUAUUGGAGGGUUGCACCUCUCCUGCCGCUCAUACAAAACUCCUUUUUUUCAGCGUACUACUGCAGUUCACUGUUCUAUUUUGUAAGUGUUUUAUAUUGUUCUGCUGGAAUUAACAGAGGGACCACUUUCAGAUCUUCAGGUGAAAUGUAUUGUAGAAAUGCAAAUAAACUACUAGCUUAUUAUUUGAUGCAGAGGCUGAUGUAUAGCUCUACCUAGCCAUUACAUUCACUUUCCAUGCCUAUCAGUAUGUACCCAGAGAUUGAUAGAUGAUGGUUUUAUAAUUCUUAAAUACUUUUUUGAUAUCUUAAACCUAUAGAGCCUUCAGACAUUUUGUUCAGGAGAUUUGGAAUACUUUGCUACUUGAAAUAAAAAAAGGUUCAAUUGGCAGGGUUUUAAAUCCAAACAUUUAAGGCAUUGAUUUUACUUAGUUUUUCUAAAGUAACGCCUUUAGGAAAUUGAGUGCUACAUUGCUAAUUUUAACUUUAUUCAUUUUAAAGUGCUCUAGGAUACUAGCACAAAGGGCACUGUAAAAAUUGCAUUGUGCUGUAUUAGGUUUGAAUAGGAUGAGUUAUAGAACUGUUUGAGACUUUGAAUUUCCAGAAUUUAGUUAUUACAAUGCUUAUGAUACUAAAGGUUUCUUAUGUAUGCAUUUUAUGUUUGGGGUUUUUUUCUUAAUAGUCAUAAUUCCUAAGAAAUAUCUACUAUACACAGUCUGUCAAAAAAGCUUUAUAAUAUUUUCUAUUGCAAUACAGCUGUACAAAAAGAUUUUAUAGAAGUUAUUCACACCUACAUAAAUAUAAUUUAAAAUGCAAAUGUUCAUUGCCUAAAUUACAGUGGAAAUUCAUUUUUCAUGCAAUGAAUCUUGAAAAUAUUUCCAGUGUUGAUUAACCUGCAAUGGGAUUUUUCCUUUGCAAUAUCAUAAAUAUGCUCACCUUGUAUGAAUCUGAGUACAGCAUACAAAACUCUGUCUGAAUAUUACGUAGUGAGAGUGAUUGUGUAUUCAGAGUAACCAAUGAAAAAUGAAAUAAUUUGUACGUAUUUUGAAUCUUAGUACAUUUUUUAGUAUAAAAGAUUCAUAGGUUUACGGCCUGCUACAGCACAAUUAAAUAUACAAUAAAAAUACAACAAAGAUUGUACUCAUUUUCCUUUGAUGAUUAUAAAAAUUUAUUCAGGACUAUAUAACUGCUUUCAGUAGAAACUGGUCCAUAAUACUUUAACUUUUAAAACAAUAAUAUAGUUUCAUAGGUGCAUUUUUCCCAUCAAUAUUCCUAAAAAAAAAAGUGGCAUAGUGUGAAAAUGUGAAAGAUAUUGCAAAGAUUCUGAUUUUACCUCUCUGUUUUCCAGGGAUUUGUCUCAGUCUCAUGUACAAUCUAGCAUUCAUGGCAAGUGAUAAAUAUCUAGCACAAGCAGGCAUAGAAUUACUUUAAAAGCAACAAGCAAAAUUUGAAAAAUACUAUGAGUUGAGAGGAAAAAUAAUCAAAAGUAUUCAAAAAGGUAAACAUUGGCUUUGGAAGAAUAAAUGGAACAUUCCUUAAUUGCUUUUUCAAGACCAGUGGAAAAUUUUCCUCACACACACUGUGGGAUUUUUUUUCUUCCCCUGCUUCUCAACAAGGGAUAAUUUGUGAAGGGAUAACUUAGUGUAGAAAAAACAGGGUGGGUGAACUUUAAGCAACAUUUUAAUAGAUAUACCGCCAAACUUCAGCAGGUCAUUGGGGAGACAGAUCGAUGGAAUGUAUGUUAUCACUAACAUCAAAAAGAAUAGAUCUAUCACAGAAAAAAAAGCAAACUAUUUAAAAAUUUAAAGCAUUAUCUAUAGCAUUUUUAUUCAAAGGAUUUUUGAACAAUUGUGUUUGCUUGCACACUUCUUUGACGAUAGAAAGUUCCCACAAACCCUACCCUCAUGGUCAAAGUACUACAUGGGCUUUUUAGAUUCCGUGUGUAACUAGAUUUGUUAUGUAUUCAGUUCUGGUUAAAAUAUAUAUGCAUUAGUGAUCAUAAGCUAUCUUAGCUUUAAAGGAAGAGGGCAAUAGUGCAGUCACCCCAAAGGAGAAAAAUGAUAGCAAAGUCAGGCAAUGAAACACAUUUUUAUUUUUGUGUUCUUUUAUAUUAAAAUACAUGUUUAUCACAAUAAAACAUGAACUACACAGCAUUUAUCUUAUGUUAUCUGCCCAAGCCAUAUCCAAAAGAAAUUGAAACACAUGGCUAUCUUCUCAUUGGUCUCUGUAUUUCUUGGAGCAAGUCUUUUGUAUAUUUCCAGUGUGUCCUUUGUUCUUAUACUAUAGAUCCACCUUUUUCCUUCCUCACUGGUGUCACUCCUCACUGAGACCAAGGAAAUUUUAUCAUCACCCACUUGUUCAGUACCAAAGUAUGGCAGACACUUUAUUCAUGAACAAAAAGUGUGGUGUUUGUGCUAAAGAGACCCAUUGACUUAAAUAGCACAGGGCCUCUAGAGACCUCCAGCCUGCAACGUGCUUCUGGCAAAACACAGCCUGAUGUGCCAGGAAGAAUGUAGAUGAGAGCAGUCAGUAGCAGGGAGGCACCAAGAACCAGAAGCAUCACCCAAAGUCGUGAGCGUGUAUGUAACGUUCAUACCCUGCUGUUCUUCUGAGGUGGUAAGACACGGAGACCAGACUUUCUGACAGAAAUAAUAACUGCAAAUUUGUUACAAUUCUGUGAUAACCAGGAGGGGUAAUUAAGAUCUGUGAUGUGUUCUACAGCUUUAACUGUAAAAUAGUCUGAUUAAUUUAAAUUAACUUACUCUAAUAAACUACUUACUUUUCCAGUAGUGAAAUCUGCAGUGUGUUAGAAAAGAAGAAAACUCUUUCACACUUAUAAACUGUACAAUGGCUGCUCUUUUUAGUUAGAAAAUAGAAAUAUACUGGCAAGUGGGGAACGUUUCUCAUCCCUGGGGAAAAUAAUUGUCACCAAAAUAUUCUGUUUUUUCCAAAGAAAAGCCAAAAUUUUGUCUAGCAGAAAAUAAACUUACUUAAACAAUGCUUUGCUUUCUGCGUCAAAAGUGUUUUGAGUAGAGAUAUUCAGUUUUAUUUAUGAGUUGCUUUUCUUGAACAAAACAUUUGUACGAAACAAUAAAUGUUUAC